This 253-nucleotide ribosomal RNA is filed under the name uncultured bacterium. RNAcentral describes it as "partial 16S ribosomal RNA". It matches the Rfam family "Bacterial small subunit ribosomal RNA", at positions 524 to 776 of the family's 1533-position model. The record is from RNAcentral.
UACGUAGGGGGCAAGCGUUGUCCGGAAUCAUUGGGCGUAAAGAGCGCGUAGGCGGCCCGAUAAGUCCGCUGUGAAAGUCAAGGGCUCAACCCUUGAAUGCCGGUGGAUACUGUCGGGCUAGAGUCCGGAAGAGGCGAGUGGAAUUCCUGGUGUAGCGGUGAAAUGCGUAGAUAUCAGGAGGAACACCGGUGGUGCAGACGGCUUUCUGGACCGUAACUGACGCUGAGACACGAAAGCGUGGGUAGCAAACAGG